This 1152-nucleotide ribosomal RNA is filed under the name Tetradesmus sp. Its description in RNAcentral is "partial small subunit ribosomal RNA". The record is from RNAcentral. Lineage: Eukaryota; Viridiplantae; Chlorophyta; Chlorophyceae; Sphaeropleales; Scenedesmaceae.
AAGCAUUUGCCAAGGAUGUUUUCAUUAAUCAAGAACGAAAGUUGGGGGCUCGAAGACSAUUAGAUACCGUCGUAGUCUCAACCAUAAACGAUGCCGACUAGGGAUUGGCGAAUGUUUUUUUAAUGACUUCGCCAGCACCUUAUGAGAAAUCAAAGUUUUUGGGUUCCGGGGGGAGUAUGGUCGCAAGGCUGAAACUUAAAGGAAUUGACGGAAGGGCACCACCAGGCGUUAACAAAGCUGAAAGCUCUAGCGCCAGUGAGGGGGAAACCUCUUGCUAGUCAACACAAUUCGAUUGUGUUGGCAACACCUUCAAAUUGCUGGAAAAUUCUAAAGCCAUUGCAUACCAAGGUGUGAAGGAAACUUCAUGCUGGCCAGGGUAAUGACCUCGGGUAUGGUGACAACUGCAAUGGAUGACGAGAUUUUCAGUCUCUGAAAUGGACAACCAGCAGCCAAGUCCUAAACAUGAUGUAAUAUCAUGCAUGGAUGCAGUUCACAGACUAAAUGGAGGUGGGCUGUCGAAUAAAUACCGACGGCUUAAGAUAUAGUCGGCCCUUAUCGAAAGAUAACCAGUAAGAGGAAACCAUGUUUAUAGUGGUGGAGAGCUUACUGGGCAUCAGGUAGUACUUGGCAGUGUGAGCUGUCAAGGGCUCCACCAUGGUGGAGCCUCUGAUGCGGAACUAGCGGGAGCCUGCGGCUUAAUUUGACUCAACACMGGGAAAACUUACCAGGUCCAGACAUAGUGAGGAUUGACAGAUUGAGAGCUCUUUCUUGAUUCUAUGGGUGGUGGUGCAUGGCCGUUCUUAGUUGGUGGGUUGCCUUGUYAGGUUGAUUCCGGGUAACGAACGAGACCUCAGSCCUGCUAAAUAGGUCCUAGUUGCUUUUUKGCAGCUAGCUGACUUUCUUAGAGGGGACUAUUGGKCGGUUWRGUCAAUGGARGUAUGRRGGCUGUAACAGGGUCUGGUGAUGGCCUUAGAUKGUUCUGGGGSCSGCACSGSGCSSCUUACACUGAUGGCAUUUCAACAGGCCUAUCCUUKGACCGGAAAGGUUCCGGGUAUUCUUUUGGAAMYKGCAUCGGUGAUGGGGGAAUWGRAUUUAUUGGCAAUUAUUAAGUCUUCCAACGGGAGGGGYGGUGCCUUAGAUAARGCGCGSCCC